GACUGACAUGGUCUCCUCAAAGUAAACACCUCAGGGAAAUGAAUAGUUUGUCUGUCUUCACUAGACAUUUCAUUGUGAUACACACCAUGCAUACACACAAGGAGGAGUUCAUACCAGGAAGUAAUGGUGCACCUAGGAGACUUCUUGAUACAUACCAUGCAUACUCAUACAUAGGGAGGAGUUCACACCAGGAGUGUGAAUGGCCCAUGGAUGCACUAAGAUUUGAUUUCUGAAUGAAUAGAAGGUCUCUGAGGGGCCCUGAUGCAUGGUGAGCAAAGAUUGGCAGCUGUCUCAAAGUUUUUCUCACAUCUCAUCAAAGUUGACAAAGGAAUUACUCGGUGAGAUGGAAAGUAAAACUGCUAGGGGAGAUCGGUUCAGAUGGGAACUCCCAAAAGUGAUUGCCAGAAUGCUGAAUGAAGUUAAGAAGACCUUUCACUCAUCUUAAUUCCUUGUACCUUCUAAAUUGAUCUUUGCUAAGUCAAGGAAUCAAUGAGGGGAUGUUGGAUUCUACAGCUACUAUGAAAAAAAACCACUGUGCUUUGGACCAAGGAAGCAAAGACAGAGUGCAACUUUUUCAUCUUGGCAAAAGUCUGGAACCCUAUCUUGCAAAUAGAAUCCUUACUUUCCUCCUUACAUGCAGCUGAGGUAGCUAGUGUGAGAUACAUGAUCUACUCGCUCAAUACAAUGUCUGCCAUUCAUCCCUAAGGAGGUGAGUAUCGGGAAAAAUUAUUCCAUUUUGGCUUGAGGGUAGCCGCCUUUUGAGCUCUACCAUCUAUCAAAUGGAUACUGUAUCUUCAGGUUUUAGUUGGUUUGUACACUUUCACCAAGUUUGGUGGUAAUUAUCAACUUUAUAAUGGGAGAAAAGGGUGAAAAAAUUCAUGGAAUACAUUGGUCAGAAGGACUUGGCUGUUAUUUGUUUUCACUUUUACCUCAGAGGCAAAGACAUAACUGAACCACUGUAACAUUUAGGUCUGCUUCCCCACUGGCCCCUAUACA
This is a long non-coding RNA of Lytechinus variegatus (green sea urchin), 996 nucleotides long. RefSeq lists it as uncharacterized. The record is from RefSeq and is a predicted model, not a curated record. The transcript has 4 exons. Lineage: Eukaryota; Metazoa; Echinodermata; Echinoidea; Temnopleuroida; Toxopneustidae.